This 201-nucleotide long non-coding RNA is filed under the name Physcomitrium patens. RNAcentral's name for it is "long non-coding RNA (PPAT_LNC004801)". Lineage: Eukaryota; Viridiplantae; Streptophyta; Bryopsida; Funariales; Funariaceae. The record is from RNAcentral.
UAGGGCUCUCACAUGGUAUACAUCAUACUUGGUCAUCCAAUCAAUACUAACUUUAGAAGAGAUUUCCGAAUCCAACAGGUAUAUCAAGUACUCCCCUGGACCGCCACAUUGGUACACCACUUCAAGGUCUUGGUCUGCUUCCACGGAUGCCUCCAUAAUCGGUGCUACUGCAUCGUCAUUAGCGCUAAGCUCAUCAUCCAA